UAGUAACGGCGAGUGAAGAGGGAAAAGCUCAAAUUUUGAAUCUGGUGUCUUUGGCGCCCGAGUUGUAAUCUAGAGAAGUGUUUUCUGCCUCGGACCACACAUAAAUUCCCUGGAAUGGGGUGUCAUAGAGGGUGAGAAUCCCGUUUGUGGUGUGGACUACCUUGGCUCUGUGAUACACUCUCAACGAGUCGAGUUGUUUGGGAAUGCAGCUCAAAAUGGGUGGUAAAUUCCAUCUAAAGCUAAAUAUUGGCGGGAGACCGAUAGCGAACAAGUACCGUGAGGGAAAGAUGAAAAGCACUUUGGAAAGAGAGUGAAACAGUACGUGAAAUUGUUGAAAGGGAAGCGUUUGAAGUCAGUCACAUCGGUUGGAAUUCAGCCUGGCUUUGCCUGGUGUACUUUCUGGCAGAUGGGUCAGCGUCAAUUUUGACUGAGGGAAAAAGACUUGAGGAAUGUGGCUGUCUUUGGGCAGUGUUAUAGCCUCUUGUUGUAUGUCUCAGUUGGGAUUGAGGACCGCAGCACGCCUUAUGGCCGGGGUUCGCGCCCUCGGAACGUGCUUAGGA
Molecule: ribosomal RNA, 560 nt
Filed under: uncultured Sebacinales
Lineage: Eukaryota; Fungi; Basidiomycota; Agaricomycetes; Sebacinales
Description: eukaryotic LSU rRNA
Rfam family: Eukaryotic large subunit ribosomal RNA
Source: RNAcentral